UGGGGAAUUUUGCGCAAUGGGCGAAAGCCUGACGCAGCGACGCCGCGUGUGCGAUGAAGGCCUUUGGGUCGUAAAGCACUGUCGACAGGGAAGAAAGCUCGUCGGAUAACACCCGGCGAGGUUGACGGUACCUGUAAAGGAAGCACCGGCUAACUCUGUGCCAGCAGCCGCGGUAAUACAGAGGGUGCAAACGUUGCUCGGAAUUACUGGGCGUAAAGCGCAUGUAGGCGGGUCGUUAAGUCGGGGGUGAAAGCCCAGAGCUCAACUCUGGAACUGCCUUCGAUACUGGCGACCUGGACCCAAGGAGAGGCGAGUGGAAUUGCGAGUGUAGAGGUGAAAUUCGUAGAUAUUCGCAGGAACACCAGUGGCGAAGGCGACUCGCUGGACUUGUGGUGACGCUGAGAUGCGAAAGCGUGGGGAGCAAACAGGAUUAGAUACCCAUGUAGUCCCUGAGCGGGCUGGCAAGGCGCAU
This 472-nucleotide ribosomal RNA is filed under the name uncultured bacterium. RNAcentral describes it as "bacterial SSU rRNA". It matches the Rfam family "Bacterial small subunit ribosomal RNA", at positions 355 to 825 of the family's 1533-position model. The record is from RNAcentral.